This is a long non-coding RNA of Homo sapiens (human), 3547 nucleotides long. The record is from Ensembl. Lineage: Eukaryota; Metazoa; Chordata; Mammalia; Primates; Hominidae.
GAUAAGGGAGAAAGGUGUGGUAGAGUCCGUCUCCUCCCAUUUCCUACAAAAUCCUUCUACAGUUGACUCCGCUCUUACUUUUGUUUACAGAGGAGCUGACGUUUCAUCUGGGCCUGAAGAAUGAGUAAAUUUCCAGGUGGGAAAAGGUCAUUGUGAUAUUGGAGAGAUAUGUCUUCCAUCCUGAGAUUUUCAGCCGGUGUAGACUGUAACAAGCAUGUGAUGAGCCAGAAGCAAAGUAAAAGGACUAAGGACAUCUUGCGAUUUGGGACUGGUCAUUCCUGCUGCUCAGAACCAGCCCACUCCACGCAGAGAUCACCUGGGAGAACCCAGACUCCUUCCAGUCCUUCCCCGCCGGCUGCAGCUCUUCCUUCUCACUGUAGGCUGGGAACCAGGAUGCCUGCCUUCCUAGGUAUGGACGAGACCCCAACGCGAGCUGCUGGCCUGAGUCCAAUGGGACAGCCCUGCAGGAGUUCGUGAUCCUGGGCUUCUCCGUGUGGCCCCCGGGGCUCCGCGUGCUGCUCUUCGUCCUCUUCUUGCCGCUCUACCUGGUCACCCUGGCGGGGAACCUACUGAUCCUGGGCCUGGCCCUGGUGGACCCCGCCCUGCACUCGCCAAUGUACUUCUUCCUGGGGGCGCUGUCCGCGGCGCAGGCAGCCUACACGCUGGUGCUCACGCCACGCAUGCUGGCCGGCUUCCUCCUGCCCUCCAGGGGCCAGGCUGUGGACCCCUCUACCUGCGCCGCCCAGAUGGGCCUCUUCGUGGCCCUGGGGGGCUCCGAGUGCCUGCUGCUGGCUGCCAUGGCCCUAGACCGCUACCUGGCUAUCUGCCAUCCACUCUGCUACCCUCGGCUCAUGACCAUGGACGUCUGCUGGGGCCUGCUUGGCCGCCUGCUGCGCGGGUGGCUCUGUCCUGGCCCUGGGCCUCACCGCGGUCAUCUUCCAGCUGCCCUUCUGCCGCGGCGGCCUGGUCAACCACGUCUUCUGCGACCUCCCGGCCGUGCUGGUGCUGGCCUGCGGGUGCCGGGCCCUGCAGGAGCGCGUCCUCCUGGUGGCCUGCCUGCUGCUGCUGGUGCUACCCCUGCUCCUCAUCCUGCUCUCCUACACCCGGGUGCUGGUGGUCAUCCUGGGUGUUGGGGGGGUCGCGGGCCGCCGCAAGGCCUUCAACACGGUGGCGUCCCACCUCACCGUGGCUGUGCUCCACUACGGCUGUGCCACGGCCAUGUAUGCCAGGCCCCUGAACAGCCGUUCCCUUGAGGAGGACAAGCUGGUCUCGCUCAUCUAUAUCAACGUCACCCCGCUGCUGUACCCGGCCAUCUACACGCUGCGGAACCGGGACAUGCAGGAGGCCCUGCAAUGCAUGGUCGGCCAGAGGACGCUGGGGAUGGCCACCAGGUGGAUUUUGCCUGAUGCUGGGUGCCAGGCGGUGUCUGUCCUGAGAUUUCUCCCACUGAGGGGAAUCUCACCAUUCUGGAGCCAUCUAAGCCUCCCCAACGCCUACGGGGUGUAAAUCUAAGUAUAGCACGCAAAGACCAGCAAUCCGACUCCAGCCUAGCGCUGCUGUGUCCGUUGACGUCUUGCGCUGGAUGGUUCUUUGCUGUUGGGGGAUGUCCCAUGCGUUACAAAGUGCUCGGCCGCGCUCUGAGUCUUUCUCUAUUCACUGGAUGCCGGUGGCACCCUCCACCCCACUACCCUGUGUGAUAAUCAAAAAUGUUCUUGGGCUUGGCGCAGUGGCUCAUGCCUGUAACCCCAGCACUUUGGGAGGCCAAGGCAGGAGGAUCUCGAGUCCAGGAGUUUGAGACCAGCCUGGCUAACACAGUGAAACCCCGCCUCUACAAAAAUUGUCCAGGUGUACUGCUGUGUGCCUGUAGUCCCAGCUAAGUGGGAGGCUGAGGCAGGAGGAUCACUUGAGCCCAGGGGGUGGAGGCUGCAGUGAGCUAUGAUUGCAGGACUGUACUCCAGCCUGGGUGACAGAGCAAAGCCCCAUCUCAAACAAAAAAAUACCUCCUGAAGGGCCCAUUUAGGAGCCAGGAACCUCAGAGGCAUGGUCAGUGCAGGUAACCUCUGCCUACCUAACCACCUGGCUGGUGGAUGUGCACGCCUAUCAAGGCUGAUUGGGAAGAAUUAUGUCUACUCCAGUGAGGAGCACCAAGAAGGAAGCUGACAAUGGCUUCAGGAGUCUUGGGAAAGAGGAAGAGUCUCUUCAUACCAUUUCCAUCCUUAUCUGUGGCUUCUUGAGGCUGGUGUCAGGAAACCUGAAACACAAAAGCCCUAGCCCUGGAGCAGAAGAGCCUCCCAGCCUUCUCCCCAAAUGCUACCGGUAUAUGGAACAUGAUCACCCCUAAACAGAUUUAAGACAGCUGGUUUUUUUGUGUGUAUGCAUUUUGCUUUGUUUUGUUUUUUUUUUGUUUUUUAGAUGGAGUCUCACACUAUUGCCCAGGCUGGAGCGCAAUGGUUCGAACUCAGCUUACUGCAACCUCCGCCUUCUGGGUUCAAGCGAUUCUCCUGCCUCAGCCUCCCGAGUAGCUCGGAUUAUAGGUGCCCACCACCAUGCCCAGCUAAUUUUUUGUAUUUUUAGUAGAGACGGUUUCACUAUGUUGGCCACGCUGGUCUUGAACUCCUGACCUUGUGAUCCGCCCGCCUUGGUCUCCCAAAGUGCUGGGAUUACAGGCAUGAGCCACCACACCUGGCCUACGACAGCUCUUUUUAAGGACUUUUUUAGAGCAGUUUAGGUUCACAGCACAAUUGAGAGGAAGGUACAGAGACAUCCCAUUUACCCCUGUCCCUGAACAAGAUGCACUUCACUGAGGUUAUGUUAGAUUCCAGAGAAACAUUGGUUGAGGGACUCUUCUUUCCAAAAUAUUUUUGCUUCCAAAAGCUGUUUCAAACACCACAACACCAAAACCCUGUUUUGGGUUUUUUGGUUUUUUUUUUUUUUUUUUUUUUUUGAGACAAAAUCUUGCUCUGUCAUGCAGGCUGGAGUGCAGUGGUGUGAUCUCGGCUCACUGCAACCUCUGCCUCCUGGGCUCAAGCAAUUCUCUUGCCUGAGCCUCCCAAGUAGCUGGGAUUACUAAGAUUACGGGCAUGCACCAGCAUGCUCGGCUAAUUUUUGUAUUUUUCAUAGUGAUGGGGUUUCACCCUGUUGGCCAGGCUGGUCUCAAACUCCUGACCUCAGGUGAUCCGCCCACCUCAGCCUCCCAAAGUGUUGGGUUUACAGGUGUGAGCGACCGAGCCCAGCCAGAAAUACAAACUAGUUGACUGUGAGUUAUCAGAUGUCAUGAAAUUGUUAGCUUCCAGGUUCAGGGGCUCUGUGAUACGUGACGACAAACAGAAGAAAUGGUAUGUGGUGCUGCAGUGGGCCUCCCUGGUUUAAUAAUAUGUUCAUCUUAUUCCAGUUCUGUAUCACAAAUACAGAAGGGUAUAAUUUAGCAUAGAAAGUCUCCAUAGAUCUUCUAUAUAUUAUGGUAUGUAUGUCUACAGAUUCACAAUUAUGUUCUGUUCACCAGUGCAACACAAAAAUAAAAAUUACCUGUCUGUAGCACACUCGGAAC